This 509-nucleotide ribosomal RNA is filed under the name uncultured bacterium. RNAcentral describes it as "bacterial SSU rRNA". It matches the Rfam family "Bacterial small subunit ribosomal RNA", at positions 9 to 524 of the family's 1533-position model. The record is from RNAcentral.
GAGUUUGAUCAUGGCUCAGGACGAACGCUGGCGGCGUGCCUAACACAUGCAAGUCGAGCGGAGACAGUGAGUGGCUUGCUACGAACUGUUUUAGCGGCGGACGGGUGAGUAACGCGUGAGCAACCUUUCCCAGACAGGGGAAUAACACACCGAAAGGUGUACUAAUACCGCAUAAGACCACGGGAUCACAUGGUUCUGGGGUAAAAGAAUUAUCGGUUUGGGGUGGGCUCGCGUCCGAUUAGGUAGUUGGUGAGGUAACGGCCCACCAAGCCGACGAUCGGUAGCCGACCUGAGAGGGUGAUCGGCCACAUUGGGACUGAGACACGGCCCAAACUCCUACGGGAGGCAGCAGUGGGGAAUAUUGGGCAAUGGAGGAAACUCUGACCCAGCAACGCCGCGUGGAGGAAGAAGGUUUUCGGAUCGUAAACUCUUGUCCUUGGAGACGAGUAGAAGACGGUAUCCAAGGAGGAAGCCCCGGCUAACUACGUGCCAGCAGCAGCCGCAGUAAU